AUCUUUGCACAGGGGCGAUAUCGGAACCAAUGAAGUCUAUCCAAGGUACUAUUUUUGCUCAUUGAAACAUUUUAAAAUUACAUUUUCACACAAAAAAUAUGUUUGUUUAGGAUCAUAAUAU
Molecule: small nuclear RNA, 121 nt
Organism: Sipha flava (yellow sugarcane aphid)
Lineage: Eukaryota; Metazoa; Arthropoda; Insecta; Hemiptera; Aphididae
Product: U4 spliceosomal RNA
Exons: 1
Source: RefSeq, a predicted model, not a curated record